This 408-nucleotide ribosomal RNA is filed under the name uncultured Diversispora. RNAcentral describes it as "partial 28S ribosomal RNA". The record is from RNAcentral. Lineage: Eukaryota; Fungi; Glomeromycota; Glomeromycetes; Diversisporales; Diversisporaceae.
GAGAGUUAAAUAGUACGUGAAAUUGUUGAAAGGGAAACGAUUGAAGUCAGUCAUGCUAGUGAAAAAUCAGUUUGACGGGUUUUGAGUUCGGGAGUAGAGGCAGGGUCAAACCGUUUCUCUUUUGAACUUGGGAUUUGUUAGAUGUACUUUUUCUUUGGCAGGUCAGCGUCGAUUUCGGAGGUUGUAAAAUACUUGGGGGAAAGUAACUCUGCUUCGGGAGAGUAUUAUAGACUCUGGGGGAUGCAGCCUGCGGGAUCGAGGAUUGCAGCAAAUGCCUUUGGCUUGUCGCCUGAUCUCUGGAUGUUACCUCGCUUUUGACAACAUUCUUGCCACUUGUGGGUACUAAUGCCCAUUAGGUUAGAGCGAUCAAAAAUUUGCUAAGGAUGCUGACGUAAUGGCUUUAAACGA